This 272-nucleotide unclassified non-coding RNA is filed under the name fungal sp. RNAcentral's name for it is "partial internal transcribed spacer region". The stretch from base 1 to 46 matches the Rfam family "Eukaryotic small subunit ribosomal RNA", at positions 1786 to 1831 of the family's 1831-position model. The record is from RNAcentral. Lineage: Eukaryota; Fungi.
AAGUCGUAACAAGGUUUCCGUAGGUGAACCUGCGGAAGGAUCAUUAUUGAAUGAAUUUUAGAGUUGGUUGUUGCUGGCCCCACAAAACCAAGGGGGGGGCAAGUGCACGCCUUCUCUUUUCAUCCACACACACCCUGUGCACUUGUGAGACGGAGGAUUUGAAAAAAUGUCCUCUGUCUACUAAUCACACAAACUCGAUUGUACUUUAACUGAAUGUAAUUGAUGUAACACAUCAUUGGAACAAAGUUUCAACAACGGAUCUCUUGGCUCUC